UACGUAGGGGGGCAAGCGUUGUCCGGAAUUAUUGGGCGUAAAGCGCGCGCAGGCGGUUCUUUAAGUCUGGUGUCUAAGGUGCGGGGCUCAACCCCGUGUCGCACUGGAAACUGGGGAACUUGAGUGCAGAAGAGGAGAGCGGAAUUCCUGGUGUAGCGGUGAAAUGCGCAGAUAUCAGGAGGAACACCGGUGGGCGAAGGCGGUUCUCUG
Molecule: ribosomal RNA, 210 nt
Filed under: uncultured bacterium
Lineage: Bacteria
Description: partial 16S ribosomal RNA
Rfam family: Bacterial small subunit ribosomal RNA
Source: RNAcentral